AUGGAAGAGGAAGGGGUGGUGAUGCCGCCGCCAGUCGUGGUGGUGGUGGAGGAGGAGGUUGUGCAGCCGCCGCCGAUGCUGGAGGAGGAGGAGGACUGGGUGACGGUGACGCUGGGGCACGCGGAGCAGUGCAGGCACCUCGUCGCCGCCGGGGUGGAAAAUGUCAUCGCCUGCUCCCAGGCCGCCCGCGUGACGCUCCUCGAGGUCGCGGCGGUGCUGCGAGACGACCCCAUCGACGCAGCGGAGACCAUCUACACCGACUUGCUCGAGGCCGUGUCCCGCGGCAUGGAUUCGCUCCUCCUCGGGCCCGCCGCGCAGAUCGUCGACAGCCUCUUCAACUGGCCCGGGCCGCUCGCGGGCGCCAUCGACGUCGCUACGGUCCUCCUACCCGACGCGGAGCCACUCGAAAAGGUCCGUCGCGAACUCCAGCUCCUCGUCGAUGUCGUCCACGCCGAGGCCGGGCACUUCUUCACGUUCUACACCGACAAUCUCGGUCUCGCUGCCCUCCCCGGCGGCGAAGGCGCGUACAAUCUCUGGGUCUUGGACCACCUCCACGCCGACGACCUGGCAAGGGAGGCGCUGCAGGCGCUGAACGUCGCCGUUGAGAGGAGCCUUGCGGCUGACCUCGACGUCCGUUUCUGCGGGAUCAUGCCCGCGUCGCGGGUGCGACCCGGGGCCGGGCCGCUCUUGCCGUUGGCGGUGCAGAGGCUGAACCAGACCGUCACCGCGGUCGACGACGCGCUGACGGCGCUGGACGACAUGCGAGACACCUUGGUGGAGCUGGAGCAGUCCGCGCUCAACGUCAUCGGCCAGGAUCCUCCGCCUCCAUGA
RNAcentral lists this ribosomal RNA (831 nucleotides) under Triticum aestivum (bread wheat). RNAcentral describes it as "partial small subunit ribosomal RNA". Lineage: Eukaryota; Viridiplantae; Streptophyta; Magnoliopsida; Poales; Poaceae. The record is from RNAcentral.